AGUGAACGCUGGCGGUAGGCCUAACACAUGCAAGUCGAACGGCAGCACAGUAAGAGCUUGCUCUUACGGGUGGCGAGUGGCGGACGGGUGAGGAAUACAUCGGAAUCUACUUUUUCGUGGGGGAUAACGUAGGGAAACUUACGCUAAUACCGCAUACGACCUACGGGUGAAAGCAGGGGAUCUUCGGACCUUGCGCGAUUGAAUGAGCCGAUGUCGGAUUAGCUAGUUGGCGGGGUAAAGGCCCACCAAGGCGACGAUCCGUAGCUGGUCUGAGAGGAUGAUCAGCCACACUGGAACUGAGGCACGGUCCAGACUCCUACUGGAGGCAGCAGUGGGGAAUAUUGGACAAUGGGCGCAAGCCUGAUCCAGCCAUACCGCGUGGGUGAAGAAGGCCUUCGGGUUGUAAAGCCCUUUUGUUGGGAAAGAAAAGCAGCAGGUUAAUACCCCGCUGUUCUGACGGUACCCAAAGAAUAAGCACCGGCUAACUUCGUG
RNAcentral lists this ribosomal RNA (492 nucleotides) under uncultured bacterium. RNAcentral's name for it is "partial 16S ribosomal RNA". It matches the Rfam family "Bacterial small subunit ribosomal RNA", at positions 29 to 507 of the family's 1533-position model. The record is from RNAcentral.